AAAAGAACUUUGGAGAGAGAGUCAAAAAGACCGCGAAACCGUUAGGAGGGAAACGAAUGCAGCUGAAGUGGCUCCUCGUCAGGCUCAGGAGACGUCGCGUGGGUCCCGACCGGCCCUCCGACAACUCUGCACUUCUGCGGGGAGCCGGCCAACGGCAGUCGUCUCCGGCCCAGGAGGGCGCCGGGGCAGGUGGCUCUGCGCUCGCGCGGAGAACUUAUAGCCCGGCGUCUGGACGUUCCGGAGGCGACUGAGGAGUGUUGCGAGUCUUCGCACGUUGCAGCGCAGGCCUCCCCCGAGGCUGGGCCGCUCUCGUCGGGCAGGCAGCCGAGGCGGUCACUGCUCCGUCAGUGGCAGUCGACGGACUCGCAGGCCGGGCGGGAGGCCGGUCGCACCUUGCGCUGCGGUCGUUGGUGCCCGGAUGGCUGCAUCCGACCCGUCUUG
Molecule: small RNA, 441 nt
Filed under: Clathria sp. GW33517
Lineage: Eukaryota; Metazoa; Porifera; Demospongiae; Poecilosclerida; Microcionidae
Description: sequence contains 28S rRNA gene
Source: RNAcentral